UACGAAGGGGGCUAGCGUUACUCGGAUUGACUGGGCGUAAAGGGCGCGUAGGCGGUUUGUACAGUCAGAUGUGAAAUUCCUGGGCUCAACCUGGGGGGCUGCAUUUUGAUACGUAUGGACUGGAGUGAGGAAGAGGGUCGUGGAAUUCCCAGUGUAGAGGUGAAAUUCGUAGAUAUUGGGAAGAACACCGGUGGCGAAGGCGGCGACCUGGUCCUUUACUGACGCUGAGGCGCGAAAGCGUGGGGAGCAAACAGG
Molecule: ribosomal RNA, 255 nt
Filed under: uncultured bacterium
Lineage: Bacteria
Description: partial 16S ribosomal RNA
Rfam family: Bacterial small subunit ribosomal RNA
Source: RNAcentral